UGAACUGCAGCAGCACCGCGAGCCCGGUCAGCGCCUGCAGCACGAGAAAGGCUGCGGCCUGCCGGACCGUCACCUGUCCGGCCGGAAUCGGCCGCGACCGGGUGCGCUCAACCUGUGCGUCGAGCUUGCGAUCGGUGAUGUCGUUCCAGGUGCAUCCCGCGCCGCGCAUGACCACCGCGCCGAUGAAGAACAGCACGAUAACCAGCGGCAGUCCGCGCACGUCAUGCGCGA
RNAcentral lists this unclassified non-coding RNA (231 nucleotides) under Hevea brasiliensis (rubber tree). The record is from RNAcentral. Lineage: Eukaryota; Viridiplantae; Streptophyta; Magnoliopsida; Malpighiales; Euphorbiaceae.